AUGAAUGAAGAUAUUGUACAAUGGCGGUUCACGGGGUUUUAUGGUCAUCCGGUGUGGAGUGAGUGUAACUUGUCUUGGGAUAAUAUUCGAAACUUACAUAAUAAGGUUGAUCACCCUUGGGUGGUUCUUGGAGAGUUUAAUGAAAUUUUGUUUUCGUCAGAAAAGGAAGGUGACAAUGUGAGACCAAAUGCAAUGAUAAGAGAUUUUCGUAACUGUUUAGGAGAGUGCGGCCUUGAGGACAUGGGAUGUAUUGGCGAGCCUUUCACUUAUGGGAGAGGCAAAACUAGGGAGAGACUCGACCGUGUGGUUUGCAAUCUGGAAUGGGCGAAUAUUUUUCCUCGGGUUGUGAUCAUAAACGAGGAACAUGUUCACUCCAAUCAUCAUACCCUCAUCCUGGAUACUAAAUAUUUUGAUGGCAAUAUUUUUAAUCGCCCAAGGGGACGAGUGAAACAAUUUGAAGAUCGAUGA
Molecule: ribosomal RNA, 468 nt
Filed under: Triticum aestivum (bread wheat)
Lineage: Eukaryota; Viridiplantae; Streptophyta; Magnoliopsida; Poales; Poaceae
Description: partial small subunit ribosomal RNA
Source: RNAcentral